RNAcentral lists this transfer RNA (82 nucleotides) under Bacteroidales bacterium. Its description in RNAcentral is "tRNA-Leu". It matches the Rfam family "tRNA". Rfam says of the family: Transfer RNA (tRNA) molecules are approximately 80 nucleotides in length. Their secondary structure includes four short double-helical elements and three loops (D, anti-codon, and T loops). Further hydrogen bonds mediate the characteristic L-shaped molecular structure. tRNAs have two regions of fundamental functional importance: the anti-codon, which is responsible for specific mRNA codon recognition, and the 3' end, to which the tRNAs corresponding amino acid is attached (by aminoacyl-tRNA synthetases). tRNAs cope with the degeneracy of the genetic code in two manners: having more than one tRNA (with a specific anti-codon) for a particular amino acid; and 'wobble' base-pairing, i.e. permitting non-standard base-pairing at the 3rd anti-codon position. Lineage: Bacteria; Pseudomonadati; Bacteroidota; Bacteroidia; Bacteroidales. The record is from RNAcentral.
GCGGGUGUGGCGAAAUUGGUAGACGCGCUAGACUUAGGAUCUAGUGCCGAAAGGUGUGGGGGUUCGAGUCCCUUCACCCGCA